CAAUAAGCGGAGGAAAAGAAACCAACAGGGAUUGCCCCAGUAACGGCGAGUGAAGCGGCAACAGCUCAAAUUUGAAAUCUGGCCCCUUGGGGCCCGAGUUGUAAUUUGCAGAGGAUACUUUUGGCGAGGCGCCUUCCGAGUUCCCUGGAACGGGACGCCAUAGAGGGUGAGAGCCCCGUCUGGUUGGAUGCCGAGCCUCUGUAAAGUUCCUUCGACGAGUCGAGUAGUUUGGGAAUGCUGCUCUAAAUGGGAGGUAUAUGUCUUCUAAAGCUAAAUAUAGGCCAGAGACCGAUAGCGCACAAGUAGAGUGAUCGAAAGAUGAAAAGCACUUUGGAAAGAGGGUUAAAAAGCACGUGAAAUUGUUGAAAGGGAAGCGCUUGUGACCAGACGUGGGCCUGUCGGAUCAUCCAGCGUUCUCGCUGGUGCACUCCGGCGGGCUCAGGCCAGCAUCAGCUCGUCCCGGGGGACAAAGGCAGCGGGAAUGUGGCUCCUUCGGGAGUGUUAUAGCCCGCUGUGUAAUGCCCUGGGGCGGGCUGAGGUUCGCGCAUCUGCAUGGAUGCUGGCAUAAUGGUUAUCAGCGACCCGUCUUGAAACACGGACCAAGGAGUCGUCUUCGUAUGCGAGUGUUCGGGUGUAAAACCCCUACGCGUAAUGAAAGUGAACGCAGGUGAGAGCUUCGGCGCAUCAUCGACCGAUCCUGAUGUUCUCGGAUGGAUUUGAGUAAGAGCAUACGGGGCCGGACCCGAAAGAAGGUGAACUAUGCCUGUGUAGGGUGAAGCCAGAGGAAACUCUGGUGGAGGCUCGCAGCGGUUCUGACGUGCAAAUCGAUCGUCAAACAUGGGCAUGGGGGCGAAAGACUAAUCGAACCUUCUAGUAGCUGGUUUCCGCCGAAGUUUCCCUCAGGAUAGCAGUGUUGAUCUCAGUUUUAUGAGGUAAAGCGAAUGAUUAGGGACUCGGGGG
This 960-nucleotide ribosomal RNA is filed under the name Claviceps purpurea (ergot fungus). RNAcentral describes it as "LSU rRNA". It matches the Rfam family "Eukaryotic large subunit ribosomal RNA", at positions 44 to 1035 of the family's 3401-position model. The record is from RNAcentral. Lineage: Eukaryota; Fungi; Ascomycota; Sordariomycetes; Hypocreales; Clavicipitaceae.